RNAcentral lists this ribosomal RNA (503 nucleotides) under uncultured bacterium. Its description in RNAcentral is "SSU rRNA". It matches the Rfam family "Bacterial small subunit ribosomal RNA", at positions 26 to 518 of the family's 1533-position model. The record is from RNAcentral.
AGGACGAACGCUGGCGGCGUGCCUAACACAUGCAAGUCGAGCGGAAAGGCUCCUUCGGGAGUACUCGAGCGGCGAACGGGUGAGUAACACGUGGGUAAUCUGCCCAAGACACAGGAAUAACCAGUGGAAACGCUGGCUAAUGCCUGAUGAUGUGCCGGCCCCUCGGGGCUAGUACCAAAGGUAGCUUCGGCCUCCGGUCUUGGAUGAGCCCGCGGCCCAUUAGCUAGUUGGUGAGGUAACGGCUCACCAAGGCGACGAUGGGUAGCUGGUCUGAGAGGACGAUCAGCCACACUGGGACUGAGACACGGCCCAGACUCCUACGGGAGGCAGCAGUGGGGAAUCUUGCGCAAUGGGCGAAAGCCUGACGCAGCAACGCCGCGUGCGGGAAGAAGGUCUUCGGGUUGUAAACCGCUUUCAGCAGGGACGAAGGCGACUGGGUUAAUAGCCCAGGAGUUGACGGUACCUGCAGAAGAAGGUCCGGCUAACUACGUGCCAGCAGCCGA